This 247-nucleotide long non-coding RNA is filed under the name Lathyrus oleraceus (garden pea). Its description in RNAcentral is "Pisum sativum (pea) long non-coding RNA (PSAT_LNC023368)". Lineage: Eukaryota; Viridiplantae; Streptophyta; Magnoliopsida; Fabales; Fabaceae. The record is from RNAcentral.
GAAUAAAAUGGCUAAGGCUCAACGGGGUUUACGAAGGGAAGCAUACAUAUAGGGAUGGCUAGAAAGGCCCUGGCUAAACAAACAACUUGCCUCAGUGUGUGUUGUCAUGCUGUGACGUGUCAACAGAACAUACGCAAAAUCAGAGUGAUAAAGUCAUACCUGGCUGAACUCUCAUGUUGAUAUUUCGUGUUUGGCUUUUUGUGAUCUCACCAUGUUGGUUAGCUUGCAAGCUCUGAAGUCUCUUCGU